Molecule: ribosomal RNA, 253 nt
Filed under: uncultured bacterium
Lineage: Bacteria
Description: partial 16S ribosomal RNA
Rfam family: Bacterial small subunit ribosomal RNA
Source: RNAcentral
CACGUAGGGCGCAAGCGUUGUCCGGAAUUAUUGGGCGUAAAGAGCUCGUAGGCGGUCUGUUGCGUCCGCUGUGAAAACUCGGGGCUUAACCCCGAGCCUGCAGUGGAUACGGGCAGACUAGAGGUAGGUAGGGGAGAAUGGAAUUCCCGGUGCAGCGGUGAAAUGCGCAGAUAUCGGGAGGAACACCGGUGGCGAAGGCGGGUCUCUGGGCAGUAACUGACGCUGAGGAGCGAAAGCGUGGGUAGCAAACAGG